AUACCGGAUAGAGCAUCGAUCGCUGGAAUGCAUGAUGCUCGAAAACUGAGGCGCCAAAGGAUAGGUCUGCGGCCGAUUAGGUUGUUGUUGAUGUAACGGAUCAACAAGCCUCCGAUCGGUAUGGGUUGUGAGAGCAAUAGCCCAGAGAUGGGUUCUGAGAGAAGAACCCAGGUCCUACGGGACGCAUCAGGCGCGAAAACUUUACAAUGUGCGAAAGCACGAUAAGGGAACUCUGAGUGCCUCCUAAGGAGGCUGUUCAGGUGUCUAAAAAGCAUCUGAAGGAAGGGCUGGGUAAGACCGGUGCCAGCCGCCGCGGUAACACCGGCAGCCCAAGUGGUGGCCACUUUUACUGGGUCUAAAGCGUUCGUAGCCGGCCAGGUAAGUUCCUUGGGAAAUUUGACCGCUUAACGGUCAAGCUUUCAGGGAAUACUGCGUGGCUUGAGACCGGGAGAGGUCAGAGGUACCUCAAGGGUAGGGGUGAAAUCCGUUAAUCCUUGGGGGACCACCAGUAGCGAAGGCGUCUGACCAGAGCGGAUCCGACGGUCAGGAACGAAGGCUAGGGUAGCGAACCGGAUUAGAUACCCGGGUAGUCCUAGCAGUAAACGAUGCGGGCUAG
Molecule: ribosomal RNA, 616 nt
Filed under: uncultured archaeon
Lineage: Archaea
Description: bacterial SSU rRNA
Rfam family: Archaeal small subunit ribosomal RNA
Source: RNAcentral